AUGGCGGCCAAGGUGCUCCAGCUCCGCAGCGCCGACGGCAAGGUGCUCGUCGCUCCGGCGUGGGACUAUCGCCCGGCCGCCGCCCAAGCCCGCCCGCUGGAGAUGCGGGUGCCCUCGCGCCCCCUCGAGAGGGUGCUCCAGUACUGGACCAAGCACAGCCUGGCCAAGGCCACCGGUGAGUCCCGGGAGUCCCUCGCCCGCUGGGACGCCGACUUCCAGCGCCGUCUCGAGGAAGAUGGCCUCGCCAAGGAGGCCGCCGCAGCCGCCCAAGAACUCCGCCGCUACGGCGUCGAUCAUGGAGGGCGUCCCCGUCGCCACGCCGGCACGGGCGCAUCUGGCGUCGCUGCUCCAGCCACCGCCGCCCGUGCUGAUCCCGUCCGUGCCUGGUGUGGACUCGUUCACCACCUCAAGGGUGUCGACCACGGAGAACCUAGCCCGGCGCCGACGGCGCCCAUCGCUUUCCAUGCCUCCCAUAUUGCCGUCGCCGCGCGCCCUGGGCCUGCCACCACCUUGCCGGCCGCUGCUGGUGCUGAACCCGUUGGUGUCCGGUGCGCCGUCCGUGCCCGUGGACGCCAGAUGGCUGAAGACGAGGAGUCCGCUUGCCACCACCGCAAGCGCCCGACUUCCAAGGCUCCACUCUGCCUGUCUGCCAAUGCUGUUGCGCCCGUGAAGAAGGUCUCUGGUCCCGUCGCUUUCAAGGCUUGCUCUUUCGUCGGCUCUACACCAUUGCCUGUCACUGCUGUUGCACCCGGUGUGAAGAAGAUGACUCCAGCUUCAACUCUGCGCGCUAGAAGGGGGAUGAGGGAGCUCAGCUGCAAGGUUCCCAAGCAAAACAAAUCGCCAUUGCCUGUCACUGCUGUUGCAGCACCAAGGAAGCAACCAAUUCCUUGCUUGAGUCCAGUGGUAUUACGCCCUUGCUAG
This 921-nucleotide ribosomal RNA is filed under the name Triticum aestivum (bread wheat). RNAcentral's name for it is "partial small subunit ribosomal RNA". Lineage: Eukaryota; Viridiplantae; Streptophyta; Magnoliopsida; Poales; Poaceae. The record is from RNAcentral.